UGGAAUUAUGUGGUUUGGACUAAAUAUUUUUACUGGAUUGGAUCAUCUGGACCUUUGACAAGACCUAAUUCCAAUUUAGAUCCCAAAGAACCUUUGGGACGUUAUGUAUCGGUGCAUCGGACAUUGCCAAGGAGUGCCACAGACUUUCCAGGACUCACUGAUGCCCUGAUCCAGGUUUGGGAGGAGAUCUCCCAGGACACCAUCCGGCGUCUCAUCAGGAGCAUGCCAUGAAGUUGUCGAUGAAGACAUGAAGCUGAAGACGUGCCAAGGGGGGCUGUGAUCGACAAGAGAUCUGAUACAAGUGAUCGAUCUCUCUCUCACUCACUCACACUCACACACACACACACACACACACACACACACACACACACACACACACACACACACACACACACACACACACACACACACACACUUUCUCUCUCUCUCUCUCUCUGUAUUUAAAAUAUUAAUUAAUUUUUGUCCAGAGAGGCAGAAGACAGCAGAAUCUGACCUUCCUCCCGCCCAUAUUUCAUGGAAGCAUGAAUUUAAUUUAGACUUAACUUUGUACUUCUUCCUUUUAAUCUUCAACACUAGAUGAAUACAGGACAGGGGGAUGGAUAUAAAACAAGGAAUGGAGGGAAAGAGAGAAGGAUGAAAAAAGAAGGAAGUGAUGCCUUCAAUCCUUGUUUUUAAGAUACUCAAAUUACAAUAUGUACACAAAUUACAGACUGGAGGCAAGCAUCACAUUGAUUUAGUGCAUCUAAUGCCCAAGAAAUUGAGACAAAACCAAAGCCAAAUACAAACACAAAGCAAACAAGUAUUGUUACUUUGAAAAGGGAAUGUAUGAGAGCAAGAAUAGAGAAAGAAAUAUUUGAUGGUUAGGCUUAGAUCUCUGCCGCACCCUACAUUACUCCUCAUGUAAUCUGAAACCAUAUGUUAAGAACACCGUGACAGGCAUGUUAGAGAGGGAGCAGCACCCACUCGAUAUCAUCUCUGUGAUUCCCAGUCUCAAAUGCAGGGAUGUAUUUAAGUAUAAUAAAGUGGGAGGGGAAGCAAUGGUGAGAGACGAGACGGAUGGGGCACGAAAUGCCUUCGUUGCCGGGUGUAAUGCACCACAGACAAAUAGUGCAGUUUUAUGGCCUGGAGGAGUAGAAAGAGCUUUUAAAUUCAUGCUCACUCUCCAGGAGG
Molecule: long non-coding RNA, 1170 nt
Organism: Micropterus dolomieu (smallmouth bass)
Lineage: Eukaryota; Metazoa; Chordata; Actinopteri; Centrarchiformes; Centrarchidae
Exons: 3
Source: RefSeq, a predicted model, not a curated record